GCCUCAAUAGUAUAAUGGUUAGUACAAUGCCCUGUCGCGGCAUGGACCCGGGUUCAAUCCCCGGUUGAGGCG
Molecule: transfer RNA, 72 nt
Filed under: archaeon
Lineage: Archaea
Description: tRNA-Asp
Rfam family: tRNA
About the family: Transfer RNA (tRNA) molecules are approximately 80 nucleotides in length.
Source: RNAcentral